Trachymyrmex cornetzi is the source of this 468-nucleotide long non-coding RNA. RefSeq lists it as uncharacterized. Lineage: Eukaryota; Metazoa; Arthropoda; Insecta; Hymenoptera; Formicidae. The transcript is spliced from 3 exons. The record is from RefSeq and is a predicted model, not a curated record.
UAUCAUGGAUUUAGUCAGGACACGCGAUGAUGCAAAAAAACCAAAGGGAUGGCCCACUCUUCCACUAGCUGACAGAAACUCAUUCUAUGAAUGGGAGUUGUUCCUGCAAAGUAGCAGUAAUUAUGAUUUCGCUGUAGCCUAUCUCAGUGUUGUAGCUGAAAGAGGAGCAAAUGAGGGAGAAAUGGCUGCCAACAUUUGCAAGAAAUUGUUUUGGCCUGCGGUUGCAUCUGGCCUGAACUGAACAGGGACUGAAUUAAAAAAAGGAAUCAAGUCCAUGAAGUGUGGCGCAUGCAUCGUUGAUGCAUGUGCCCACCAGUACAAAGGCAAUUUUAUGAAAGCAACAGUAUCGGGAGCUAUUAGUACAUGGCUUCGCAGCCAUUCAAAAAAGAGGGCUGCAGACAACGGAAUACCAACGUGAUCGACAACUGCGGCGACGAUUUCGAGAGCAACAAGAGCUCUAUACCAAAA